RNAcentral lists this ribosomal RNA (497 nucleotides) under uncultured bacterium. RNAcentral describes it as "partial 16S ribosomal RNA". It matches the Rfam family "Bacterial small subunit ribosomal RNA", at positions 28 to 507 of the family's 1533-position model. The record is from RNAcentral.
GAUGAACGCUGGCGGCGUGCCUAAUACAUGCAAGUCGAGCGAACAGACGAGGAGCUUGCUCCUCUGACGUUAGCGGCGGACGGGUGAGUAACACGUGGAUAACCUACCUAUAAGACUGGGAUAACUUCGGGAAACCGGAGCUAAUACAGGAUAAUAUAUUGAACCGCAUGGUUCAAUAAUGAAAGACGGUUUUGCUGUCACUUAUAGAUGGAUCCGCGCCGCAUUAGCUAGUUGGUAAGGUAACGGCUUACCAAGGCAACGAUGCGUAGCCGACCUGAGAGGGUGAUCGGCCACACUGGAACUGAGACACGGUCCAGACUCCUACGGGAGGCAGCAGUAGGGAAUCUUCCGCAAUGGGCGAAAGCCUGACGGAGCAACGCCGCGUGAGUGAUGAAGGUCUUCGGAUCGUAAAACUCUGUUAUUAGGGAAGAACAAAUGUGUAAGUAACUAUGCACGUCUUGACGGUACCUAAUCAGAAAGCCACGGCUAACUACGUG